UCACGAAAAAUGUACCUCGAUGUCGGCUUAUCAUCACUAAAAUAGGUAGCUUAAUUAUUGGUGGGAGUGCUCAUCCCGUAAAUUGGUUCGUGAGCUGGGUUCAAUACGAUGG
Molecule: ribosomal RNA, 112 nt
Filed under: Cladocopium sp. C1
Lineage: Eukaryota; Dinophyceae; Suessiales; Symbiodiniaceae
Description: partial 23S ribosomal RNA
Source: RNAcentral